Molecule: long non-coding RNA, 363 nt
Organism: Chelonia mydas (Green sea turtle)
Lineage: Eukaryota; Metazoa; Chordata; Testudines; Cheloniidae
Exons: 3
Source: RefSeq, a predicted model, not a curated record
AAUGCUUUGUUUGCUGAAGUCUGCAACUUUGCAGAGGAAAGAUAGAGUUGUUAAGGCUCAGCACUAGACUCAGAAGAUGUGGGUCCUCUGCCCUGACUCUGUCACAGAUUUCAUGUGUGUCCUUGGCCAGAAGCAUCAACUUUCUAGAAACUACAACAUUCACUUUAGUACUACAGAGCCAACACAAGUAAAAGAGUGAGCUUCAUUCCAUUCCUCCUUCUGCAUCAUCACCGGACUUGUUUACCAAAUUCUAAUCCAUUCCAUUUGUGCAAACGCGAUACAGGAAGUUGGGUUGCACAGCUGUUGCUGUGGGCCAUGUUUGGCCUGAAGAACUCUUAUUCCUCAUGAUAGUGUCCAUGAAAG